Oncorhynchus tshawytscha (Chinook salmon) is the source of this 2690-nucleotide long non-coding RNA. NCBI's taxonomy places the organism in Eukaryota, Metazoa, Chordata, Actinopteri, Salmoniformes, Salmonidae. The record is from Ensembl.
UACUGACUGACUGACUGUACCCACUGGAAGUAGGAUAUAGCACCUACUGACUGACUGACUGUACCAGCUGGAUGUGGGAUCUAGCACCUACUGACUGACUGACUGUACCAGCUGGACAUCGGAUCUAGCACCUACUGACUGACUGACUGUACCAGCUGAAUGUGGAAUCUAGCACCUACUGACUGACUGACUACUGGAUGUGGGAUCUAGCAGCUACUGACUGACUGUACCAGCUGGACUUGGGAUAUAACACCUACUGACUGACUGUACCGGCUGGAUGUGGGAUCUAGCACCUACUGACUGACUGACUGUACCAGCUAGACAUGGGAUAUAACAUCUACUGACUUACUGACUGUACCGGAUGGAUGUGGGAUCUAGCACCUACUGACUGACUGACUGUACCAGCUGAAUGUGGAAUCUAGCACCUACUGACUGACUGACUACUGGAUGUGGGAUCUAGCAGCUACUGACUGACUGUACCAGCUGGACUUGGGAUAUAACACCUACUGACUGACUGUACCAGCUGGACUUGGGAUAUAACACCUACUGACUGACUCUUCCAGCUGAGGAUGGGAUCUAUCACGUACUGACUGAGUGUACCAGCUGAGGAUGGGAUCUAGCCCUAACUCUGACUGACUGUACCAGAUGAGGACAGGAUCUAGCACGUACUGACUGACUGUGCCAGCUGAUUAAAUCACUUACUGACUGUACCAGCUGAUUACAUAACUGACUGACUCUACCAGCUGGCACGGCGAUGGGAUCUAACACCUACUAACUGUCUGACUGACGGACUUUCUGACCGACUGUCUGACUGAUUAGCUGGCUGACUGGCUAGGCUGACUGGCUAGGCUGACUGACUGACUGACUGACUGACUGGCUGGCUGGCUGGCUGGCUGGCUGGCUGGCUGACUUCCUGACUGAUUGGCUGGCUGGCUGACUGGCUGGCUGAUUGGCUGGCUGACUGAUUGGCUGAUUGGCUGGCUGGCUGACUGGCUGGCUGACUGGCUGGCUGGCUGACUGAUUGGCUGGCUGAUUGGCUGGCUGGCUGACUGGCUGGCUGACUUCCUGACUGAUUGGCUGGCUGGCUGACUGACUGGCUGACUGUCCUUCCAUUGCCUUCUCUCCCCGGGGAUUCAGACGGGAAAACAAAGCCAGAGAACUUGAACCAACUGUAAUGUAACUAGUUAAAGCAGGCGACACACUUGAGUCUGUCUGUCUGUCUGUCUGUUAAAGUCAUGAUUAUUCAAUACUACCAUAAUUAUAUUAUUCUAUUGAUCUGUUAUAGUCAUGAUUAUUCAAUACCACCAUAAUUAUAUUAUUCUGUUGAUAUUGUUGGGGUUGUGAACGUACAGUACAGUAAGAGACUAUUGUUUGUGGAUACUGUACUUUUUAAAGACGAAGCUGAGAACACUGCUGCUACCUGACGGUGACUGUAACAUUAGGUCUGUACGGUGCCCAUAUUAGGACAGCGUCAGUCUCAGCAGGCGUUAUUAGGUCCUGAUCAGACUGAGGAUGUCCUAAUACAGACACCAUAGGUGUGUUAUUUAAUGAUGGUCUGCAUUCCAAAUGGCACCUUGUUCCCUUUGUAGCUGAACUAUUGUUGACCAGAGCCUACGGUGUUGACCAGGUCCUACAGUGUUGACCAGGGCCUACAGUGUUGACCAGAGCCUACGGUGUUGACCAGGUCCUACAGUGUUGACCAGGGCCUACAGUGUUGACCAGGGCCUACAGUGUUGACCAGAGCCUACGGUGUUGACCAGGUCCUACAGUGUUGACCAGGGCCUACAGUGUUGACCAGGGCCUACAGUGUUGACCAGAGCCUACGGUGUUGACCAGGUCCUACAGUGUUGACCAGGGCCUACAGUGUUGACCAGAGCCUACGGUGUUGACCAGGUCCUACGGUGUUGACCAGGACCCACAGUGUUGACCAGGUCCUACGGUGUUGACCAGGGCCUACAGUGUUGACCAGGGCCUACGGUGUUGACCAGGUCCUACAGUGUUGACCAGGGUCUACAGUGUUGACCAGGGUCUACAGUGUUGACCAGGGCCUACAGUGUUGACCAGGGCCUACGGCUGCUGGUGUUGACCAGAUGCUACGGCUGCUGGUGUUGACCAGAUCCUACGGCUGCUGGUGUUGACCAGGUCCUACGGCUGCUGGUGUUGACCAGAUCCUACGGCUGCUGGUGUUGACCAGGUCCUACGGCUGCUGGUGUUGACCAGGUCCUACGGCUGCUGGUCAACAUAGUGUACUCUAUGGGGAACAGGAUGCCAUGUGGAACACAGCCCCUAUUGAAGACCUUUCUAGCUAUGUUGGUUCUGUUGUUUGUGCACGGAAAUGGAAUUAAAUACAACAAGGGCACGUUUUUGUUAUUUUUCAACAUAAUAUAUUUUGCACUGAGACACAAAAAUGUGUUAAUACUGUACAUUUUGUUUUUAGAUGCGUGUAUAAAGCCUCACCAGUGCCACAUAGUUCAAAUGUAUAAAAUAUUGUUGUACUGUGGAAUGUUAAUAGUCUUUUGGAUUGCAAUGUAUUGCCUUUACACACAGUCUGCUGGUUGUCAACACUAUAGGCCAUAAAGGAGGGGCAUCUGACUGCUAUAGAAUUACCGGCCAUAAAGGAGGGGCAUCUGACUGCUAUAGAAUUACCGGCCAUAAAGGAGGGGCAUCUGACUGCUAUAGAAUUACCGGCA